UUAUGACUUGUGAAAACACUUUGUUGUUGAAUAGCUUAAUAUAAACUGGUUUUCUUUUGUGGUAUAGGUAGUACCGAAGACUAUUGGAAAAGAUAGGAUGCUGCUCAAGUAAUGGCUCAGUUAGUAUGGGAAGGACUUGGACUCGGAGGAGGGACAGAUGUCCGAAACUGGGGCAGCCUGGUUUAUCUGG
Non-coding RNA from Arachis ipaensis, 190 nucleotides. NCBI's taxonomy places the organism in Eukaryota, Viridiplantae, Streptophyta, Magnoliopsida, Fabales, Fabaceae. The record is from RefSeq and is a predicted model, not a curated record.